This 429-nucleotide ribosomal RNA is filed under the name bacterium. Its description in RNAcentral is "partial 16S ribosomal RNA". It matches the Rfam family "Bacterial small subunit ribosomal RNA", at positions 355 to 776 of the family's 1533-position model. The record is from RNAcentral.
UGGGGAAUCUUGCGCAAUGGGCGAAAGCCUGACGCAGCGACGCCGCGUGCGGGAGGAAGCUCUUCGGGGUGUAAACCGCUGUCAGGGGGGAAGAACGGGCCGGGGAGGCAAUGCCCCGGUUUUGACGGUACCCCCAGAGGAAGCACCGGCUAACUCUGUGCCAGCAGCCGCGGUAAUACAGAGGGUGCGAGCGUUGUUCGGAAUUACUGGGCGUAAAGCGCGCGCAGGCGGCUUCUUAAGUCCGACGGUGAAAUGCCGGGGCUCAACCCCGUGCCCGCCGCGGAUACUGGGGAGCUGGAGACACGUAGAGGCAAGCGGAAUUCCGGGUGUAGCGGUGGAAGCGUAGAGAUCCGGAAGAACACCGGAGGCGAAGGCGGCUUGCUGGGCGUUGUCUGACGCUGAGGCGCGAAAGCGUGGGGAGCGAACAGG